UGCAAUCGGUGAUGUAAUCGUUUAUUCAUGCUGAGUUCCUCUGUGAUUAUCUCAACAACAAUCACCAUCUUUCGACUGAGAUUGCA
Molecule: non-coding RNA, 86 nt
Organism: Triticum aestivum (bread wheat)
Lineage: Eukaryota; Viridiplantae; Streptophyta; Magnoliopsida; Poales; Poaceae
Source: Rfam